GUGCAGCAGGCGCGAAAACUUUACAAUGCGGGAAACCGUGAUAAGGGGACACCGAGUGCCCGCAUCAUAUGCUGGCUGUCCGGAUGUGUAAAAUACAUCCGUUAGCAAGGGCCGGGCAAGACCGGUGCCAGCCGCCGCGGUAACACCGGCGGCCCGAGUGGUGAUCGUGAUUAUUGGGUCUAAAGGGUCCGUAGCCGGUUUGGUCAGUCCUCCGGGAAAUCUGAUAGCUCAACUAUUAGGCUUUCGGGGGAUACUGCCAGACUUGGAACCGGGAGAGGUAAGAGGUACUACAGGGGUAGGAGUGAAAUCUUGUAAUCCCUGUGGGACCACCUGUGGCGAAGGCGUCUUACCAGAACGGGUUCGACGGUGAGGGACGAAAGCUGGGGGCACGAACCGGAUUAGAUACCCGGGUAGUCC
This 417-nucleotide ribosomal RNA is filed under the name uncultured archaeon. RNAcentral's name for it is "bacterial SSU rRNA". It matches the Rfam family "Archaeal small subunit ribosomal RNA", at positions 330 to 747 of the family's 1478-position model. The record is from RNAcentral.